Molecule: ribosomal RNA, 192 nt
Filed under: Pacifigorgia stenobrochis
Lineage: Eukaryota; Metazoa; Cnidaria; Anthozoa; Malacalcyonacea; Gorgoniidae
Description: partial internal transcribed spacer 2
Source: RNAcentral
UUGGUUAACAAAAUAUGAUCGUGUGCGACUGUGCUCGAUCGAUUGAGGCUGUCGCGUCGUUGUCUCCGUCGGAGCAACGUGCGUCCCUCGAAGUGCAGCACGUUCGACGCUCGUGUCGUGCGAACAAGGCCCAAAGAACUUUGUCCUUGCGAGCACGACGUCUGUCGUUCGUCCCUUUUCUAUUAUUAACCU